Molecule: ribosomal RNA, 500 nt
Filed under: uncultured bacterium
Lineage: Bacteria
Description: partial 16S ribosomal RNA
Rfam family: Bacterial small subunit ribosomal RNA
Source: RNAcentral
AUUGGACGCUGGCGGAAUGCUUUACACAUGCAAGUCGAACGGCAGCACGGACUUCGGUCUGGUGGCGAGUGGCGAACGGGUGAGCAAUGUAUCGGAACGUGCCCAGUCGUGGGGGAUAACGUAGUGAAAAUUACGCUAAUACCGCAUACGAUCUAUGGAUGAAAGCGGGGGAUCGCAAGACCACGCGCGAUUGGAGCGGCCGAUAUCAGAUUAGGUAGUUGGUGGGGUAAAGGCCCACCAAGCCAACGAUCUGUAGCUGGUCUGAGAGGACGACCAGCCACACUGGAACUGAGACACGGUCCAGACUCCUACGGGAGGCAGCAGUGGGGAAUUUUGGACAAUGGGCGAAAGCCUGAUCCAGCCAUUCCGCGUGCAGGAUGAAGGCCCUCGGGUUGUAAACUGCUUUUGUACAGAACGAAAAGGUUUCUACUAAUACUAGGAGCUCAUGACGGUACUGUAAGAAUAAGCACCGGCUAACUACGUGCCAGCCGCCGCUGUAA